Long non-coding RNA from Bactrocera neohumeralis, 200 nucleotides. RefSeq lists it as uncharacterized. The record is from RefSeq and is a predicted model, not a curated record. NCBI's taxonomy places the organism in Eukaryota, Metazoa, Arthropoda, Insecta, Diptera, Tephritidae. The transcript is spliced from 2 exons.
AGUUGCUCACAAAUCUUCACAGACUUUCAUUAAGUGGCGCAAAAAAGCAAUGAAUGUUCAGUCAUUAAUAAGUUCGAAUUUUCGAAGUUAUUAAAAGGUUCGAAUUUUCGAAGAUACUCACAAACCUUCACCGACUUUCAUUAAGUGGCGCAAAAAAGCAAUGAAUGUUCAGUCAUUAAUAAGUUCGAAUUUUCGAAGUU